This 876-nucleotide long non-coding RNA is filed under the name Phoenix dactylifera (date palm). RNAcentral's name for it is "long non-coding RNA (PDAC_LNC014965)". The record is from RNAcentral. Lineage: Eukaryota; Viridiplantae; Streptophyta; Magnoliopsida; Arecales; Arecaceae.
UACCGGACCGGUGCCAGUCGGCACCGGUCCGGUACGGGCUGAACCGACCGGUACAGGUCGGUUCAGCAGACCUUGGGUACACCUGUAUGAAAGUCGAUUCAAUAUACCGAGACUCGAUAUGUCCCUCGUACCGAGUCUCAGUUUGGUGUCCGUACAGCAUAGUAUGCCCGGUACGGAAUGGUACGCACCGGUACAACGAAAUUUGUUCCCAACCCUUUCUCCUCUCUUUUACCCACUCUAGCACAAAAUAGGCAGGUGCCUAUCAAAAUCGAGCAGAUCCAAGCAAUUCUGCUCGAUGCAAACUGGGUCUAGACAUUUCCCCAACCGAAAGGCGAAACAAUACUAGUUCCACCUUGGUUUAGUUUGGUACACCCCAAACCAGGUUAUUCAGGAUGGUUCCAAAAACCUUGGUUAAGUGUGAUGACUAUAGCAAGAGAGAAUGGUCACGACAAUAUGCCCCCAUAUAGACACAUGGUAUAGGUGCUAAGUUAGCAUAGCAACCAUAUAUGCAUCUGUAUCGGAGCAUACCAAGCCCCAGUAACAUAUCAAGGCAGUAAAAUAACUUCCCAUAUGGCUCGACAUAUUGGGUACUUGGAACCUUGAAUGAAACAUCUCUCAGCAAUAUUAGAUGUUUAAGGUAACCUAAUAUAAAAGAAAAACUGAAAACACCAAUAUGGUCAUCCUCAUGUGUGCCAAUUUAUACUGAUGUUCUAGUAUCGUGCCUGCACACCUACACAUAGAGAGUAUAAUACCUUUUAACUUCAAGUUACCCUAACCAAAGCUGUAAUUUAAAUCCCUGACUCGAUGAUCUAAAACCCAUUCAAGUUGAACAGGUCAACUUGAUUGAUUCAUCCCCUGUUAAAAAAUUGAACCAUU